CUUCCGUAGGUGAACCUGCGGAAGGAUCAUUA
Molecule: ribosomal RNA, 32 nt
Filed under: Phytophthora megasperma
Lineage: Eukaryota; Oomycota; Peronosporomycetes; Peronosporales; Peronosporaceae
Also listed under: 115 other names
Description: partial 18S ribosomal RNA
Source: RNAcentral